Molecule: ribosomal RNA, 497 nt
Filed under: uncultured bacterium
Lineage: Bacteria
Description: partial 16S ribosomal RNA
Rfam family: Bacterial small subunit ribosomal RNA
Source: RNAcentral
GACGAACGCUGGCGGCGUGCCUAAUACAUGCAAGUUGAGCGCUGAAGGUUGGUACUUGUACCAACUGGAUGAGCAGCGAACGGGUGAGUAACGCGUGGGGAAUCUGCCUUUGAGCGGGGGACAACAUUUGGAAACGAAUGCUAAUACCGCAUAAAAACUUUAAACACAAGUUUUAAGUUUGAAAGAUGCAAUUGCAUCACUCAAAGAUGAUCUCGCGUUGUAUUAGCUAGUUGGUGAGGUAAAGGCUCACCAAGGCGAUGAUACAUAGCCGACCUGAGAGGGUGAUCGGCCACAUUGGGACUGAGACACGGCCCAAACUCCUACGGGAGGCAGCAGUAGGGAAUCUUCGGCAAUGGACGAAAGUCUGACCGAGCAACGCCGCGUGAGUGAAGAAGGGUUUCGGAUCGUAAAACUCUGUUGGUAGAGAAGAACGUUGGUGAGAGUGGAAAGCUCAUCAAGUGACGGUAACUACACAGAAAGGGACGGCUAACUACGUG